Long non-coding RNA from Lathyrus oleraceus (garden pea), 1068 nucleotides. RefSeq lists it as uncharacterized. The record is from RefSeq and is a predicted model, not a curated record. NCBI's taxonomy places the organism in Eukaryota, Viridiplantae, Streptophyta, Magnoliopsida, Fabales, Fabaceae. The transcript has 4 exons.
AAACGGCGAACACGCUAAUCAUGUUGGCAUGCCACUAUCAGGUUAAACAACUCAAGUCAACUCAAAUCUCCCUCUCCUAAAUUCAAGCCUCCUUCGCUAUGCCGGAAUUCGUUGCCGGUGGCGGCGGAGCCUAAACUACUAAAUUCAUAUACCAUACUUCUCAUAUACAUUCCCUGAAUUCCAAUCCUUGAUCAGACUCUCAAAACUCAUCACUAAUUAAUCGAAUCGAGGUGACUUCUCUAUGAACCCUAGACAGUAAAACUCAAAUUAAACUCUUCCUACCCGGAAUUAAAAUCCGAGGGGUUGGGACUUUGAUUCUAUUCACCUCCAGCUACAUUACGGUAACAAGUUCGAUGCGAAACAAUGAAGAAAUCAACCUACCUGCCGUUGACGACGAAGAUGAAGACAAUUCUGGUUAUGGCUGCAGGAUAUUGCACAUUGGUAGACAUGAUUUGGUACGCCAUGGUUAGGAAAUUAGGUGGUUGGUUUACUGAUGUAAAUGAUUGAUGCCGAUUUUGGACGCCCUAUCAUGUCUCGAGUAACCUCCUGCAGGACUGUGGCCAAGGUAUUGGAGGGUCUGUUGCACACAUGUUUUGCAGGUUGAUGAUGUUGUUUGGCCUACUGCAGGGUUUGAAGUUAUAGGUUGCAGCUGAACCAUUUGCACUUAUGCUUGCAGGCUACAUAUUGCUAUGGUUAUAGCUUAAUUUGCAGGAUACACUUGCAGCAGAUGGCCUGUCAUGUAUUUUGGAUUGUAUGACUGCACCUUGUGAGAGUUUAUGCUGCUGCAGACACUGUUCAUAUGGAAUGGCACAUGUGAAGUUUAUGGAAAGUGAACUAUAAGCAAUGUGGUAAUGUGAUUCGUGUGAAUGAACUCUGGGAUGUUGUUUGGAUUGGUAACAAUGUGGGUUUAUUAUGUAGUUUGGCCUUGGCACGUGGCUUAUUGUUGAGUUCUGUUUUAGGUCCAUGUUUUCCUUGGCUUGAAAAGAUUUUGGUUAGGUUUAGGUAUGGUUUUGGGUAGGUUGUAAUGUGGUUAAUGUUAUGCAUAUUGAAAUAAACAUGUUUUAUAUA